Molecule: ribosomal RNA, 402 nt
Filed under: bacterium
Lineage: Bacteria
Description: partial 16S ribosomal RNA
Rfam family: Bacterial small subunit ribosomal RNA
Source: RNAcentral
UGGGGAAUUUUGCACAAUGGGGGAAACCCUGAUGCAGCGACGCCGCGUGAUUUAGAAGGCCUUCGGGUUGUAAAAAUCUUUUCUAUGGGAAGAAAAUGACAGUACCAUAGGAAUAAGGACCGGCUAAUUACGUGCCAGCAGCCGCGGUAAUACGUAAGGUCCGAGCGUUGUCCGGAAUCAUUGGGCGUAAAGGGUACGUAGGCGGGUAAGCAAGUUAGAAGUGAAAUCCUAUAGCUCAACUAUAGUAAGCUUUUAAAACUGCUCAUCUUGAGGUAUGGAAGGGAAAGUGGAAUUCCUAGUGUAGCGGUGAAAUGCGCAGAUAUUAGGAGGAAUACCGGUGGCGAAGGCGACUUUCUGGUCAUAACCUGAUGCUGAGGUACGAAAGCGUGGGUAGCAAACAGG